GAGGGUAUAGUUCAGCAGUAGAGCACGUGCUUAGCGUGCAUGAGGUCCUGGGUUCACUCCCCAGGACCUCCA
RNAcentral lists this transfer RNA (72 nucleotides) under Camelus bactrianus (Bactrian camel). It matches the Rfam family "tRNA". From Rfam's summary of the family: Transfer RNA (tRNA) molecules are approximately 80 nucleotides in length. Their secondary structure includes four short double-helical elements and three loops (D, anti-codon, and T loops). Lineage: Eukaryota; Metazoa; Chordata; Mammalia; Artiodactyla; Camelidae. RNAcentral also lists the same sequence under 1 other name. The record is from Rfam by way of RNAcentral.